RNAcentral lists this long non-coding RNA (5212 nucleotides) under Sus scrofa (pig). RNAcentral's name for it is "lncRNA (ENSSSCG00040058521.1)". Lineage: Eukaryota; Metazoa; Chordata; Mammalia; Artiodactyla; Suidae. The record is from RNAcentral.
CUCUGUAAAUAUUAAUUAAUAUUAGAUAUGAAUGAAUGAAUGAAUGAAGAGCAGCAGCAGAAGUAGUGAGAUAUAGAGGAGACAGGUGGCACAUAUGUCUCACUCCCUGGAUGCUAGCAGCACACGUGACUCUGACCAUGGGGAAUUAUGAAUGUCUCAUUGGGUGGAGAUAGAAUUAGAUCAUCAUCUCUAGACCAGUAAUUUUGUGAAACUUCAGGGAGAUGAAGGAAAAGCAUGAAAAUAAAUGUCUAAGGAUUUGACAUAAGGUAUGGCUCUGAGCUAUUGCCACAAAUUGAACAAAACGAAGUCUAAAAUGAAACAUAAAGUUUUCAGUUGUGGAGGAGCUCAUGGUCAUGGUAGAAAAGGAGCUGUCUGUCACGAGCUUUCUUAGUUUAUGGUGGUCUUUGGUGCCAGGAGGGAUUUUUGAAGAACUUUAUUAGAGUAUAAAACCCCAUGAAGCUGUUUGUAGAACAAACCCGUCACGGCUGAAGGCCAGUGGUAGAGAGAGGCAGGUAGUGUGGACGAGGAUGAGGCUUGUGCCCUUCCUGAAUGCUCUAGGUGGAAAUCCUUCCUUGUCUCUCACUAGCUUCUAUUGGUUGCUGGUGAUCCUUGGCAUUCCUGGGCUUGUAGAUGGAUCAUUCCAGUCUCUGCCUCUGCUGUCACGUGGCCUUCUCCUUGUGUGUCAUCUGAACUCCCCACUUCCAGUAAGGACACCAGCUACUGGAUCAGGGCCCCACCUCAUCCAGGAUGUCCCUUUCUUUCCUUGAUUAUAUCUGCAAAGAUCUUAUUUCUAAAUCAGGCCACAUGCACAGGUUCUAGGAGUUAGGACGUGAAUAUGCCUUUUGGAGGGAGAAACAGUUACACUCACUAUCAGAACAUAUCCAAAACCACAGGCUUGGGCAUCUGAGCCCUGGAUGAAUCCAUUUUUCUUGGAAGGUCAAACCUUGCCUUCCACUCUGACUUUUGUAUAUUGAAUGUGUGGCAGGAAUAGGGACCUCCCCCCAUUAUCUCUCUUCCAUAUUCAAAAAUUGCAAGAGAAGUAAUUGGAUAUAAUUCACUGUGCUAUAUCCAUUCCCUUGUGAUAGAACAUGAUAGAAGAUAAUAGGAGAAAAAGAAUGUAUAUACAUGUAUAACUGGGUCACUUUGCUGUACAGCAGAAAUUGACACAACAUUGUAAAUCAACUAUAAUAAAUUUUUAAAAAUUGUAGGAGAGUUCGCCCUUGCAAACUUUGAAUUUGUAGGAAAAGUAAAACAUAAAUGAAAACAAAACCAAUUUCAUUUUAGAGUCUUUUCUUGGGUCUUUGCGUGGCCAAGCAAGGCUCUCAAGGGGCAGAUUUAUCUACAAUGAGAUUGUAGUUAGUAUGGGUGUUUCCCCUUGGAUGAGAAACUGCUGAUGGUGUUCCCUUUCCUUUGCCAAUGAUUGGUUCAAGACAAUUUGGACCAAUGUGAUUUAUUUGUUCUUCAUUCACAUAACAAGUAUCUCUUCCAUUUCUACUACAUGCCAGAUAACUCUAAAGUGUGGCUGAAAAUGCUCUAAGCAUAAAAUUGUGACGUCUGCGAAUUGUUGACUUUUAAAGAUCAGUAUUAACAAGAAGUCUGAAAGAUCAUGGAGGAAAAUGGAAGUCUGUCCAGAAAAUGGGAAUAUGCAGAUAACUUUCAGUGCCAAUGGCUACUCCGAAGUUGCUGAGGAUAUAGCAAGCAAAAAAGGCAAGGCAGAGAAUAAGCUUAUUUGAGGUUUUCACAGAGAAAAUCCAGGGUCCCUCUCCUAUUGGAUGUGAACAAGAUCUGUUGCUGUCCCAGAUGCUGACUGCAUGGGAACCACCCCUAAGAUAAAGCUGAUAUUUUGUUCAUCAGAGCAGAGGAAGGGAACGACCUUGCGUCUCUGAUGACAUUGCUGAGUAACUGAACUGACUGGACCUUCUAUCAGGACAUUCUUUAUUAUGAGAAAAUGCAUUAUGAAAAUAAAUGUUUAACGGGGUUUGGACUGAGUUUCCACUUCUUGCUUCUGGCACAGGCAUCAUCUCUUCUGCCUUUCUUAGUUUUGCACAGCCUGCGCGCCCUGGGAGAAUAAAGGGUUGUGGCCUCACUCUGCUUAACGAUGUUCUGUCUUUGCUGUGGGCUAUUGUGGGAGAUUUUAAUUGUGUUUUGAAACAGGAGACAUUUAGUGAAAGGAGAGCAUGUCUAUGGACAGGGAACCAAGGCUAGAAACUGAGCAUGUCAAACAUUUGUCUUUGGGGGGUGAUUUUCUGUAAAGCACACAGUUAAAAACUCCUCCCUUUUCCUAUAGUAAUCCUUUUCAGUUACCUUCAACUCAGUAAAAUCGCCACAGUCUUGAGCUGUGGGGUGGGAUCCUGGGGAGUAGAAGGAGGAGGCUGUAAGAAGUAUGAUCUGCUCACCUUCCUCACUGGCUGAUGCACGUGAGGUUAGAAGUCCAGGAGCUCAUGCCAGUCAUCAGAGGCUGAUGGUCAACAGAAGUAAGUGGUCAUUCAGCCCUGGCGACCCAUGGGGGAACAGAGCAUUGUAGAGAAGCAGCUGCUGCAUGAAACUAACUUACAAGAAGAAAUAAAACAAACCCGCCUUUCACAGAAUAUACCAGAGGGUAUUCACCUUUGAGGGUAGAGAAAUGCUGGCAUUUGUAUUGUAUGUACCAAGAAUUUAAAUAAGCAAAUGAACUAUAUUUCAUACACCUUACAUUAUUAAAGUAGGAAUGUCCCUGUUAAUUUGCAUUUACCGUCCUUUGGUCUCCAGGGAGCAUUCAGGAGCUCCCUUUCCAGCAACUGGUUUAGACUGCAUGCAACUAUGUCUUGCUUUGUGGUGCAUGCAAGAGGCAAUUCUGUGUUUUUGUGAGUGUGACUAUUUAGCCCUAUUAACAAAUAUUCAGAUCCUUUAGGCAUUUUUAUCUUGAGAAUUCUACUCUUUCUCUUUUCCUGCCAUCUAUCUAUCCCCUUUUAAGACUAUCUCAGAUCCCUCCCCAGAUCUGGAUGUGCUUUCUCUUAUCUUUUUUUUGUCUUUUUUUUUUUUUUUUUAAUUGCUUUUUGAGACCACACCUGUGGCACAUGGAGGUUCCCAGGCUAGGGGUUGAAUCAGAGCUAUAGCCACCGGCCUACGCCAGAGCCACAGCAACGCGGGAUCCGAGCCGCGUCUGCAACCUACACCACAGCUCACAGCAAUGCCGGAUCGUUAACCCACUGAGCAAGGGCAGGGACCGAACCCGCAACCUCAUGGUUCCUAGUCGGAUUCGUUAACCACUGCGCCACGCCGGGAACUCCGGAUAACAUAAUUUCAAACUCCUCAAGGCAGUAAGCUGGGACAACCAGAGGGCUCACCCCUUAACAUUUCUCACUUCUUAGGGAUCGCCAUCCUUCUCUACCUGAGGUCCAGUGCCUUAAAAAACACUGUCUUAUAUAUUUUUUUCUGUCUUUUGUUGUUGUUGAUUCUGGUAGGAGGAUACAUUUGGUUCCUGUUCCCUCACUUUGGCUCAAGGCAUAAGGUUGGGUUGGUAGAAAUGUAAUCUUAGUGAAUUUGGAGGCUUUCCCCUGAUGGAGGAUUUUGUUGAAGUCAGGACAUAGACUGGAGCCUGUCGGGUCUUCACCCACUGGUCUGGUAGGUACUGCUGACAUCCUUUGUCUCCAUGACCCCUCAGCUCUGGCAGCUCUUUGCUGCUCUAGGCUACUCUGGACAUAUUGGAGCCUUUGGUGGUCUCCUUGGCUCCUUUAGCCAUGAGACCCAGUACCAUGUAGCCACACACUCUCUCUAUCUGAUCCGUUCAUCUCUCCAGGACGUUGCAGGAGAAGAGGUACAGGUUUUCUCCCAGGAACACACUGGUUUUUUGACUCUUUCUCUCUCUCUUUCCUUAAACUUCCUUAGCCGUGGAGAAGUUGUCUUCUUAUCUUGGAUAGGAGUGGAUUUUGGAGACUUGUCUCUAAGUGAAUCCUUUAAUUCCCUCAAGGACUGGGCGUUGGGAACACAGACUCUAGCUUCUUGAGCACUUUCUGCCUGUCACAUCCUUCCCUGCAGGGAAUGUAGAGAAAGCUGAUUAUUUGCCUAAAGAUAGGAGUAGAAACAGAGAAAAUGCCGUAAUAAUUUUUUUUUUUCCCAAAGCGAUUGUGCCAGAGUAAUAAGAAAUACUUUGUUUUGUUGGGGCAUUUGCCUUUUGAACUUAUUCCAUGGUAUAGCUAUUUAAAAAGUAGCAAUGUAUUUUUUAAGGGGAGGUGCAUGGAGCAGAGGCUUGACUUAAGUUUUUUUUUUAGUAUUGCUAUAUUUGUAUGGCAAGUGUAAACUAGAUUUAGGAUGUAUAAUUACUUGGCUGUAUUUGACUGUCAUGUUCAACAUGGCACACAAAGCUGUGAUUUUUAGCAUCCUGAAUAAAGAUAUUUUCCCUUCCUAGUCUCUAGUCUUCCCGUCAACAUCCACCCAAAUUGACCUUGAUACAUUAUCGAUGUAUCCUCAAUAUUCAGUGUCUAUACACAGUUUUUAACCAAUAGAAAUUUCACAGAGAUUUAAGAUGCAUAAUUGCAUCAGUCUGAUUUCUGAUGUAUUCAGCCUGGCAUGGAUUCCAGUUUCUGUAAUCCCUCUUUCCUCUAGCCAUGGCCACAGGACCCCAAACAGCCACAUGCUGGUCCCUAGGACAGAUUCUGGCUUCAAAAUAGUAGUAAUUAUAAUUUUUGUGACUGCAUUGUGAGAUGAAUCUCUGAGUGGCAUCUAGAUUGCCCCUGGCUUUGUGCUCCAAGUUCACAAACUGGGCUUUGGCUCUGCUUCUGAGAUACAGACCUGCUCUGCAUCCUGGCUCUGGUGCGCAGUCUCGUUUCUCAACAGCAAAUGUAGGACAGCUCUUCUCCCAGGACUGGUCAUUGCCUUCUGGCAGAGACAGUGGGCCCCUGUGUCUUCAGUCCUUUCCAAGGUUAAUCAUGCACCACCCGCCUUGAUUUCUCUGUCUCCUUUUCUCAGUCCCCAGGGUUAAAGUUCUGUCUUUUUGCUGAACUCUGUGGUAGCCAGAGGCCUUUCCUAACCCCUUUCUUCUAUUAUGCACAACACUUCAGGUGAUUUUUUUUCUUAAGAAUUCCUGGAGUUCCCAUCAAGGGUCAGUGGAAGCAAAUCUGACUAGUAUCCUUGAGGAUGCAGGUUUGAUUUGUGGCCUCGCUCAGUGGGUUAAGAAUCCUGUGUUGCCGUGAGCUGUGUGGGUGGCCCUAAAAAAAAAAAAAAAAAAAAAAAA